This 19-nucleotide microRNA is filed under the name Homo sapiens (human). RNAcentral's name for it is "hsa-miR-4327". Lineage: Eukaryota; Metazoa; Chordata; Mammalia; Primates; Hominidae. The record is from miRBase by way of RNAcentral.
GGCUUGCAUGGGGGACUGG